UACGGGGGGGGCAAGCGUUGUUCGGAAUUACUGGGCGUAAAGCGCACGUAGGCGGCUUUGUAAGUUAGAGGUGAAAGCCCGGGGCUCAACUCCGGAAUUGCCUUUAAGACUGCAUCGCUUGAAUCCGGGAGAGGUGAGUGGAAUUCCGAGUGUAGAGGUGAAAUUCGUAGAUAUUCGCAAGAACACCAGUGGCGAAGGCGGCUCACUGGCUCGGUACUGACGCUGAGGUGCGAAAGCGUGGGGAGCAAACAGG
RNAcentral lists this ribosomal RNA (253 nucleotides) under uncultured bacterium. RNAcentral's name for it is "partial 16S ribosomal RNA". It matches the Rfam family "Bacterial small subunit ribosomal RNA", at positions 524 to 776 of the family's 1533-position model. The record is from RNAcentral.